GCCGCUACCCCUCACUUUCGCUGCUGCGAUCUAGGGUUUCGUCCUUCUCCGCCGCGUAGCUAUGGCGGAUGUCGAAGUUGAUGUCGAUGUGGCCUCCGGGCAGCCGAAGAGGAGGACGUUCAGGAAAUUCAGCUUCAGGGGAGUUGACCUCGACGCUCUUCUUGACAUGAAGAAUGAGGAACUCGUCAAGCUCUUCCAUGCCCG
Molecule: unclassified non-coding RNA, 204 nt
Filed under: Hevea brasiliensis (rubber tree)
Lineage: Eukaryota; Viridiplantae; Streptophyta; Magnoliopsida; Malpighiales; Euphorbiaceae
Source: RNAcentral